This 222-nucleotide ribosomal RNA is filed under the name Triticum aestivum (bread wheat). RNAcentral's name for it is "partial small subunit ribosomal RNA". Lineage: Eukaryota; Viridiplantae; Streptophyta; Magnoliopsida; Poales; Poaceae. The record is from RNAcentral.
AUGAGAAAUGAUGAGAACUUCCAAGGCCUUGGAAAUCUAGUUGAUCUCUCGGUUAAGAUUGUUCAAACAGGGAGACAUAUAGUUCAUCAUUUGGUGUACUUGCUUUUAAAAUUGGUAUUGAUUCUCCCGGUGGCAACGGCAAAUGUUGAGAGAGCAUUUUCUGCCAUGAGUUUUGUCAAGAACAAGUUGAGAAAUAAGAUAGUCUUUUGGAUGAUUGCCUAG